UGCUCUGUUCCUGACGGAGAGCAACUGCCAGAUCGCCAACCGUCAUAGGGGGGUGGGACCCAGUUACCAACCGGGCCAAAAUGUAUGGCUCUCUUCUAGAAAUAUUCCCAUCCAGGCUUCAUCCCGUAAGCUGGCUCCCAAGUUCAUUGGCCCUUACACCAUUGACCGCAUCAUCAACUCCACCUGUGUCAGGUUACGACUUCCCGCUGCCCUUAAAAUCCAUCCCUCCUUCCACAUCUCCCAAAUCAAGCCAGUCACCGAGAGUCAGCUUUGCCGGCCGUCCACUUCCUCACCGCCCGCCCGUACCAUCAACGGCGCCCCGGCCUUUACGGUCGACAAGAUUUUGGAUGUCCGGCGCCGUGGGCGGGGGGUCCAGUUCUUGGUGGACUGGGAGGGGUGUGGUCCAGAGGAACGUUCAUGGAUCUCCCGUUCCCUCAUUCUGGAUCAUACCCUCAUCGACGACUUUUACCGCGCCCAUCCUGACCGUCGUCUUUGACCGCCUGGUGGCGAUCGUUGAGGGGGGGGUACUGUCAUGGUGCCUCUGCCAGCUACUCUCCCCCUCCCCCGCCUGCUCUGUUCCAAACGCGACCAGCUGCCACCACUCACCUCAUUAUUGCUGUUACCCUCUUAAGGAGCACCUGGACCUCCACUCAACGCCAGUUCGUUGUUCCUCCCAUGGAAGAAUCACCUCUGGAACUCACCUGGUCGCUGUUCUCUGCCUGGACUCUGACUGUCUCGCUCUGGAAUCCUGCUGCCACGCCACCUCUGGAGAAAAGCCAUUACUCACCCUUUGCUAUAUAAAAUCAAACUAGACUUA
Molecule: non-coding RNA, 817 nt
Organism: Oryzias latipes (Japanese medaka)
Lineage: Eukaryota; Metazoa; Chordata; Actinopteri; Beloniformes; Adrianichthyidae
Source: RefSeq, a predicted model, not a curated record